Cyprinus carpio (common carp) is the source of this 1714-nucleotide RNA transcript. It is a transcript of the gene named DNA repair-scaffolding protein-like, with no coding region annotated. The transcript is spliced from 4 exons. NCBI's taxonomy places the organism in Eukaryota, Metazoa, Chordata, Actinopteri, Cypriniformes, Cyprinidae. The record is from RefSeq and is a predicted model, not a curated record.
UAAACAAUUACUAUUAAAAUUCAAAACAAAAUAUCAUAUUGGUGCAAAGCAAAUAAGUAGAGAAUAAUUUACUACAGGUUGUUAAAUGGUUGAAAAUGAUUGUUUUCCCUCUCUUUCUCCUUGGAUGGUUACGGGAUGUUUGGUGAGGUUCUUCUGCACUGUGUGUCCACAGAAUCCGAGAUCCAGCAGAGCUUUGAGCAGCUGGAGGGCCGUGUGUGUCUCCUCCAGGCCCUGAGAGUCACCCAGCAUCUCACACACGGCAAAUGUUCUCUGCUCUUCAGUAUGAUUGACAGUUUGUGGCGUCCUUCGGUUGAUCCAAAAUCUCAUGACGAUCUGCUGCAGUCUCCCAGCGUAGGUCUUCAGAUCACAUCCUGAAUCACAGCCUGUUUACUUCACAUUUAUCUCACAUACCUCCUGCUUCUAGAAGAUUCCUCCUGGAUAGCGGCAGUCUGAUGUCAAAACAACCGCCAUGCUGCAUCCUUAACCAAAUAACAUAAAUAAACCAAAAUUACUCAUUAGCGGUGGUUGCGAAGACAAACAUCACUGCAGUUUCUCGUACUAAGAGUAAGUGAUUUAAACAAACCCCUGAGUAUUAACCUUUGCUUUGCGACGUGUCCCAUACCAGACAUGACUGAAAUCUAGCAGCUUUUGUGCUGGUACUUUUAUACUACAGAUCUUCACCUAGCAGGUGAAAACAUGGGCAACAAAUCCCUUAGACUUACACUGAACGAGAGACUCAGAAUGUCAUGAAUGUCAACUGUAUCUUCAAAAAAUUGUUUUGUAGAAAUUUUGUUGCUUAUGACAGCUAAGUAGUUACAUUCAUCUUUUAUUAGGCCUAAAACUUUCUGCCUUGGGUUUAAAAAAGCAGCUUUAAAGGAACAUUUUCUACUAUUCAUAGCAUUUUGUUAUCCUUUUGUAUCUUGAAGGACACUACUUUUGAACCUUCCCUAAACCUUCACCAAAAACAUUAGGAUUUUUUUUCAUAAGAGCGGACCGAGUUAUGUAAAUAUAUGCAAAUGUAUGCAGUCAUAUGUUAAUGAUCUUACUGUGGCUUCUGAAUGAGUGUUUUUGGUGUUUUAUUUCUAUAAAUAAUCUGGUUGACCGGGAAGGACAGAGGUAAAUGAUAUUCAUUUAUAAUCCAUCAAAUGACCUCUCUGAACUAUUAAGCGAUCUAGUUGAAUUUUAAAUAGUCAGGACAAUCUGUGCUUUCCAGGAUCGAGUCCCACCGUCCAGUGUCCAGCAGGGUCACAUAGUUCCCUUAUCAGGACAGACUGAAACUCUACUGUACUGACCACCUGUACUUCAGACGCUAAGAGAGAUCCUUGAGAACGAAUCUUCGAGGUGCUGUUGCAGCUUUUGGGCCACUGUGGUUCAUAAACAAUUACUGCUCAGAUAUUCUGCUGGGAACAGACAGUGAUCCAACUGGAACCAGAGGACCCAUCCUUCUCAAUUCCGCGGCCCAUAAUACUGGAGCACUUGGAUCCAGAAACCCUCCUGUACUCUCUCUGCACUUGGUAUAUUCCCCCAGAGCCUCCCUUGUUUUAAGGAGUUGGAAUGAUCCAGUUUGACAGAACUGGAUCUCUGGGGGGUACAGCAUUUUUGGCCAUUUAAACGAAACCAGUUGUUUGUUGGCUCAGGCUUUGUUCUUGAUGCUUUGUUAGGGACCUUGUGGUUUGUUAUUUACUCCUUCCUCCUUAAAGAUCUUUCUCCCACA